Anas platyrhynchos (mallard) is the source of this 4356-nucleotide long non-coding RNA. RefSeq lists it as uncharacterized. NCBI's taxonomy places the organism in Eukaryota, Metazoa, Chordata, Aves, Anseriformes, Anatidae. The record is from RefSeq and is a predicted model, not a curated record.
GAAAUCAAACCCAACUUCAAGAAGGGCAAAAGAAGGAUGUGGGGAGCUGUAGGGAUCAGACUAGCUGUGGUCUUUGGGAUGAUUAUGGUGCAGAUCCCCCUGUGAGCCAUGUUCAGGCACAUGAAGGACAAGAAAGUGAUGGGAGUUUAUCAAGGGCAAAUUAAUUGUCCUUAUAGUGAACACUGAUUCUCAGCAAGGAGUUCUGCAGUGGCUAAGUGGACAGGGAGGGAACAGUGAAUGUUGUUUAUUUUGACAUUAGGAAAGCAUCUGAUACAAUCUUUUACAAGCUUUUUGUAACCAACCUGUUGAUAGAUGACUUGAGUAGGUGGACUGCAAGGUGGGUAGAAAAUUGUCAGGGCUGCUGUGCUCAGAGGGCUAAGAUGAGGUCCAGCUGGUGGCCAGUAGUGUUCCUCACCCGCUGAAACUGAGGCCAGUCCUGACUGAUGUUCUCAUUAAUAACUGGAGAACAGGAAGCAGUGUGUCUUCAGCAAGUUUGGGAAUGCUGCCAAAUUACCCAGAGCAGUUAAUGAACUGAAGCACAGGGCGUGUUUUCAGAGAGACCUGGACAGUGUGAGGAAGUGGGCUGACGUGAUAGUGGAGCAGGAUGGAAGAUGGUAGAGGAAAGCCCGCAUGCUUUCCCAGGGGGAAGAAGGAGGAAUUUCAAGUUUCUACAUCGAUACUAGGAUGUAACAGUAGUCUAGGGGAUUUUCCGUGAAUUUAAAACAAAUGUGAUGUUGUGUGAUAUGAUUUGAAGUCAGGGAAGGGAGAGAAGAUGUUACCGUUUUCCAGAAACGAGCUAGAAAUGCAGAAUACUAUGGUAUGUGCUAUAUCUGCAAAGACAGGCUGCCCAUAUUCUGUGCUGGCAAUGAGUUUGCCAGUAGGCUAGCGUGAUUCCCUCAUACCGAGAGGCUCUGUAUGUUUGCUGGCCAAAGGUCGAGUCCUUUGUGAAAAGAUUUCCACCAGCACCCUGCUUCCACAUCUACACUGAGUUCUUCUUUUGUAGUGAUGUUAUUUUAUUAUUUUCUUUUAACAAACACCAACACAUUUAAUGACUAUCACUUGUGCAAUUUUGUAUAGCUUACAGUUAGAUUCUUCUUAACUUUCUGAAGUAAUAAUUGUAUUCAGUGUUAAGAAUAAAUCAACAUUAAAAUACAUUCAUUGACCUGCCUUGGAUUUGUGGAAUGAUAGAAUAUUUGGGGUUGGAUGAGACCUCUGGAGGUAGUCUGGUCUAACCCUGCUCACAGCAGAGGCAGCUUCACAGUUGGAAAGGAUUGCUCAGGAUUGUAGCUCAUCUGGUUUCCACAUCUGGCAAGAGAGAGUUUGUUUAAAUCUCGGUGGUGUGACACAUUUAAGUAAACUGGCCGGUUAUAAUAGGGUAAUGCUUCCUAAAAUAAGGACUUGUAGUGCUUAGAGUAAUAUCAUCCCUUAGGAAAUAAAGGUGAUCGAGUAGUAUAUGCACUGAUUUCUUUUAAAAUAUUUAAUCUAUUACAUUAAGAAUGAGAUUAAAACAAAGUUACUAAGUCAAGUAUUCUAAUGUAAAGAACUACCAGCCUGAAGUUCCUGUGGAUGCAGAGGUGGUAUUGAUUUAGCUUGGUUUUCCAACAAUUGUUUCCGGCUGAAUCUGUCCGUAUUCUGUGUGCAAAAUGGGCAGCGCUCAGGGAGUAAUGCAGCUGGCCACAUUUAUCUCCCCUUUAUCUAGAGGAACUUGUGUGUCUAAUGCUUGGUAAAUCAAUGCUUGUCAUUUUUCUUUCUCUUACAGUCUUUUAUAGGAUGCUUAUUGCUAGCAUUAUAGGUGCCUUUUGUCUAUAGAGUAGAGUCAAUCAUUUUGUUAUUCUUAAAAAAAAUAAUUUGAGGAAAUUUGUCUUCUAUUAGUACACACCUGCGACUCUGCCUGUGUUACUGUUCAAAUCCAAAGAAGUUCUGACUCUUGCCAACACCGCGCUCAGUCUUUCUAAGCAUGUUUGUUACUGCUAAGCAUACCGCAUACUUCAUGCAUUUCACAGUACUGGUCUGAAGUCAAAUCUCAUGUAAGUAGUUCGUAUUUAGGAUCCUAUACAUAGAAACAUGAGAAUCACUACUUUAUGAAGCUUUAGGUCUGCUGUUUUUAUAGUAUUAGAAGACCAAUCUUUACAAAAAUGUAAAAUGUCAGCCUUAAUUCUUAAAUGCAUUAGACAAUUAGUAAGCUGUGUCUGUGUCACAAAUAUAACUUGCGGUUGCCAGUGAUUUGAUGGACAAGCACUGUGUGGUGAUACUGGCAACUGUCGCUUUCACAUACUUCUGUAUUUUUAUAGCUGGCUUCUAACUGGCAAGCACAGAUGGCCAUAGAUUGUGAUUUUUUUGUAUGUUUCUGAAUUUGAGAAAACAUUUGUACAGUUCUUUUUAAAUUGCAUUAUGUAAAUAUCGUAUGUUAACUACUGUCUAUAUUUCUUUUAUUUUAAUCCCUAAGCUUAUAGCAUGGGAUUUUGGAACCAACCAUUUAAAUAUUUUGUUAAUAAUAUAAAGGGCUUCUGUGUUCAGCUUUUGCAUAAUUUGAAUGUUUACUUUCAAGUAGUUUCUUUAAGUCAACAGUGUUAUUUUGUCAUAUUAGUAACUUUUUAAAGUUGCUCCUGGAAAAAAUCAUCAGGUUGGCCACUAUCAAGCCUUUCUCUUGCUGUUAAUGAUGGAUGUUCUUCCACUAAGUUAGAAAUUAAUGUUUCAGUGGUACUUUUUGAAAUGGUACAUUCUUUGUGGUACAUUCCUUUUACCUGGAGGAAACACCUCUUUCCAUCUGUUGUCACAGAAACGUAGAUUUCUGUUUAGCCUUACUUAGGGCACAGGCAGUAGACUCAGUUUUUUACUGCGUAGCGGUCUAAGAAUGUUUUCCUAAGCCUAUUUUUGUGGAAGGGCAGCAUGCGAAGAAAAUUACAGAGAAAGGCAGAGAUUUUGUAAGUUUUUGGCUACUACUAGCCAAAAAGAUACUAUGAGCAUGUAGUAUUUAGUAACGUGGUUGUCCUGGAUACUUUUUGUACUAUUCCUAUUCUGCGAGACUUUUCUCUUGACCUGAAUGAACAGGCGUAAAUGCCUAACCUGUUAGAGCAUAGCAAUUGUUUUCUGAAAAUAAAUUGUUAUCCUGAAGGAAUUCUAAGGGAUUAAUCAAAUGAGUCUCCAGCAGCUGAUUUAACUAUAUAUAGUUAAAUAGCUGAUGUAAGUGUAUGCUUGUUAACGAACAGGUGCUAAACCAGUUGUUUUAAGAAGUAACUACAUAAGCAGUGCUCAGAUUGUUGAUAAUUAUUUUUUUAGUGUUAGAGGCAACAUGCUGAUGUCUGACUGUGCUGCUUUCCAAAAAUUCAAGUUCUGAAUGAAUUAAUUAUUUGAUGCCUGUAUUUGUUUGUUCUGUUGCUACUGCGCAGUAACACCAGUUCUCUUUGGAAGCGCAGUUGAAACUUACCUGUGAAUGUCCAUUGCUUUGUUCUUUAUUUCCCUUUCCUGUGCCAUAUGGUAUUCACUUGUACACCCUGAUUAAAUAAUUUAUUGUGAACACAAAGUACUGCUCUGUAGUUGAGAGCGAGUUGAAUUAAUCCUGGUUAUCAUUCAGUUGAUUGCACUGGCCUUAUAGAAAUUAACCGCAGUAAGCAUAAAGCCUAACACUGUAAUUUUGUUGAAUCAAACACAGUAGAAAAGAAAACAAAAAACAGUCAUAAAAUUGGAAGCUAGCACAUAAUUUUAAUACUUUUGUAUCACGUAGACUUUCUCAUUUGAGUGCAUAAUUUUAGUAGUUUUGUAGCACAUAGACUUUCUCAUUUGCCUUCUGUUCAGGAGGUUGUCACGUACGCUUUUAAAGCAGCAACUGUUUUAGCUAAUUGACCCUCAUCUAGAUUUACAUCUCAUUUAGGGCCCUGUGCUGUCCUCGAAUGGCUGCCGCAGCUGAAGUUACCUGGAGCCGUAUGCAGAUACCAGCACGCCCCGGGGAGCUGGGGCAGUCGGGCUUUGGCUUGCUAGCAGCUAGCACAUCCUACUUAUUACACUGCUGAAGCACACUAGGGCUGUGAGAUACCAACUUCAUACAGUCCAAAGAACAGUGGAGUAGCUCUGCGGAAAGCAACUCAUGCUUUUAGAGUAUCCAAAUCUUCGUUUUAAAAUUCAUUUUCAAGGGUUGGUAUCCAAUCCUCUCUGAUGGGUCCAGAUUUUCAAAACACUGCCAUGAGGUGUGAAUGCAUGCUGAAGGCACGGUAUGGCAAGACAGUGAAGUUUUCAAGUUUGUCUUCAAAAAGUUCGUGAGAAAAUUAUAUGACUCAUGUUGGAGACAAGCAGUGUAACAAAGUGAGCAAUAAAAGCUUUUUUCUUGUUCUUUUGUAAGAAUAAAAUGUAACUGAAAUA